AUUGAACGCUGGCGGCAUGCUUUACACAUGCAAGUCGAACGGCAGCGCGGGCUUCGGCCUGGCGGCGAGUGGCGGACGGGUGAGUAAUGCAUCGGAACGUGCCCAGUAGUGGGGGAUAGCCCGGCGAAAGCCGGAUUAAUACCGCAUACGACCUGAGGGUGAAAGCGGGGGGCCGAAAGGCCUCGCGCUAUUGGAGCGGCCGAUGUCGGAUUAGCUAGUUGGUGGGGUAAAGGCUUACCAAGGCGACGAUCCGUAGCUGGUCUGAGAGGACGACCAGCCACACUGGGACUGAGACACGGCCCAGACUCCUACGGGAGGCAGCAGUGGGGAAUUUUGGACAAUGGGGGCAACCCUGAUCCAGCCAUGCCGCGUGCGGGAAGAAGGCCUUCGGGUUGUAAACCGCUUUUGUUCGGGAAGAAAUCCUCUGGGCUAAUACCCCGGGGGGAUGACGGUACCGGAAGAAUAAGCACCGGCUAACUACGUG
This 484-nucleotide ribosomal RNA is filed under the name uncultured bacterium. Its description in RNAcentral is "partial 16S ribosomal RNA". It matches the Rfam family "Bacterial small subunit ribosomal RNA", at positions 28 to 507 of the family's 1533-position model. The record is from RNAcentral.